This 408-nucleotide ribosomal RNA is filed under the name uncultured bacterium. Its description in RNAcentral is "partial 16S ribosomal RNA". It matches the Rfam family "Bacterial small subunit ribosomal RNA", at positions 28 to 526 of the family's 1533-position model. The record is from RNAcentral.
GACGAACGCUGGCGGCGUGCUUAACACAUGCAAGUCGAACGGAGUGGCGAACGGGUGAGUCACACGUGGGAGACCCGCCCCGCAUUUCGGGCCAAGCCUGGGAAACUGGGUCUAAUACCGGUUAGUGUGGGAUGGGCCCGCGGCCUAUCAGCUUGUUGGUGGGGUAAUGGCCUACCAAGGCGGCGACGGGUAGCCGGCCUGAGAGGGUGGACGGCCACAUUGGGCCUGAGAGACGGCCCAGACUCCUACGGGAGGCAGCAGUGGGGAAUAUUGAAGAAUGGGCGGAACCCUGAUGCAGCCACGCCGCGUGGGGGAGGACGGCCUUUGGGUUGUAAACUCCUUUCACCAUCGGCGCGGUAGAUGGAGAAGAAGCACCGGGUAACAACGUGCCAGCCGCCGCGGUAAUUC